RNAcentral lists this long non-coding RNA (1211 nucleotides) under Anas platyrhynchos platyrhynchos (common mallard). RNAcentral's name for it is "lncRNA (ENSAPLG00000029081.1)". The record is from RNAcentral. Lineage: Eukaryota; Metazoa; Chordata; Aves; Anseriformes; Anatidae.
GGAGCGUUUUCCUUCUGUAUUGAUGCUGACCUUUUUCUUCCCCCUCAUUAGCAGAGGCAACAACUAUGCCGCGUUUAGCUGUCUGACUCAGCCACCCAGGAGAGUGAGAGCUGUCAUUCCUGCUGUGUUCUCUGUCUCUGGAAAGCACAAAGUGGAAAGGAGACAACUCACGCUGGCUAAUGCUGAGGCCGGUCCAGCUCUGCAGAUGUGAAGGUUAAGCUGAAUAUCUGUGAGCAGAGAAGCCUCUGUGAGGAGGAAAGAAAAUCUAUUUAAAAGCUGAAAUGGAAAAACCCAGCAGCAAUCAAUCAGAAUAGGUAAGCAGAAACAGACUUUUUGACUGGGUCUAAAUGAGGAAAAAGGAGGGGUACUUCCCUUACCCAAUUAAACCUCGGGACAUACUUGUUCAGAAAAAAAGCACCGUUGCACGGGGCUUUGUAAAGUCACACCUCUCAUAAUGAGAUAAUGAUUCAUCUGUCAUGGGGAGAGGAGAAGGAUGUUACAUGAAAUCCAUUGCCUGGCAAUUAAUGCGAAACAGCUGAUACUUUUGUAAAGGCUAAUCUGGACAUUCAUUCUAAAUGUUCCAAGCUACACAUAUUAAUCACGGAAUAAUUUAGCCUGAAAGGGACAUCUGGAGGUCAUCUGGUCCAACUGGCUGCUCAAAGCAGGGCUUUGCCAUGAGAGCAAGUUGCUCAGGGUUUUGUCCAGUCCAAUUCUGAUAAGCUAUGAGAAUGGAGAUUCCCACCACCCCUAAAAUAAGGCAUCUUAGUGAAGGCAAGGCUCAGGAAAAACAAACAAACAACAGGGAAAAGAGAAAUUCAUGCGCUAAGAUAAGGUCAGGACCAAUUUAUGAUUGAUGUGCUAAAGAGCAAGAGGGAAUGGAAAGCUCUUUCUCCAUCCCAAAGCAGCAUGGUAGUCUUGGACCAGUAGGAGGUACAUGACAUGCAUAGAAAUAGUUGUCAGGCACACAUAGAAGGUAGCUAGCAAGAAAAGAGGAACAUUCUUUUCUGUGGGUUCGCUCUGGGUGUAACAGAUGAGCAUGGGAGGAGCACGUUGAACAUCAGGGAGAAGUUUUCUAAUGGUACAGAUAGUGAAACUGGAGUUCUGCCUCAGAGUGGGCUCUCCAUCACUGGAAACUUCAAGUAAAAUGCCAAUCUGGCAGGAGCGUCUUAUGCACGGGUAAUCCGACUGUGCAGUAAGGUGAUCAUCAAAGU